RNAcentral lists this ribosomal RNA (161 nucleotides) under uncultured bacterium. Its description in RNAcentral is "partial 16S rRNA". It matches the Rfam family "Bacterial small subunit ribosomal RNA", at positions 358 to 511 of the family's 1533-position model. The record is from RNAcentral.
GGAAUCUUCCACAAUGGGCGAAAGCCUGAUGGAGCAACGCUGCGUGUGUGAUGAAGGCUUUCGGGUCGUAAAGCACUGUUGUAUGGGAAGAACAGCUAGAAUAGGAAAUGAUUUUAGUUUGACGGUACCAUACCAGAAAGGGACGGCUAAAUACGUGCCAG